RNAcentral lists this ribosomal RNA (253 nucleotides) under uncultured bacterium. RNAcentral's name for it is "partial 16S ribosomal RNA". It matches the Rfam family "Bacterial small subunit ribosomal RNA", at positions 524 to 776 of the family's 1533-position model. The record is from RNAcentral.
GACGUAGGGCGCGAGCGUUGUCCGGAUUUAUUGGGCGUAAAGAGCUCGUAGGCGGCUUGUCGCGUCGUCCGUGAAAACCUGUGGCUCAACUGCAGGCUUGCGGUCGAUACGGGCAGGCUAGAGUUCGGUAGGGGAGACUGGAAUUCCUGGUGUAGCGGUGAAAUGCGCAGAUAUCAGGAAGAACACCAAUGGCGAAAGCAGCUCUCUGGGACGGUACUGACGCUGAGACGCGAAAGCGUGGGGAGCGAACAGG